CCUACGGGGGGCAGCAGUGGGGAAUAUUGGACAAUGGGCGAAAGCCUGAUCCAGCCAUGCCGCGUGUGUGAAGAAGGCCUUCGGGUUGUAAAGCACUUUCAGUGGGGAAGAAAGCCUUGGGGCUAAUACCCUCGACGAAGGACAUCACCCACAGAAGAAGCACCGGCUAACUCCGUGCCAGCAGCCGCGGUAAUACGGAGGGUGCGAGCGUUAAUCGGAAUUACUGGGCGUAAAGCGCGCGUAGGCGGUCUGAUAAGCCGGUUGUGAAAGCCCCGGGCUCAACCUGGGAACGGCAUCCGGAACUGUCAGGCUAGAGUGCAGGAGAGGAAGGUAGAAUUCCCGGUGUAGCGGUGAAAUGCGUAGAGAUCGGGAGGAAUACCAGUGGCGAAGGCGGCCUUCUGGACUGACACUGACGCUGAGGUGCGAAAGCGUGGGUAGCAAACAGGAUUAGAUACCCCAGUAGUC
Molecule: ribosomal RNA, 465 nt
Filed under: Vreelandella stevensii
Lineage: Bacteria; Pseudomonadati; Pseudomonadota; Gammaproteobacteria; Oceanospirillales; Halomonadaceae
Description: partial 16S ribosomal RNA
Rfam family: Bacterial small subunit ribosomal RNA
Source: RNAcentral